CCUACGGGUGGCAGCAGUGGGGAAUAUUGCGCAAUGGGCGAAAGCCUGACGCAGCGACGCCGCGUGAGGGAUGAAGGUCUUCUGAUCGUAAACCUCUGUCAGUAGGGAAGUACGGUCACUGUGCUAAUCAGCAUUGUAUUGACGGUAUCUGCAAAGGAAGCACCGGCUAACUCCGUGCCAGCAGCCGCGGUAAUACGGAGGGUGCGAGCGUUAAUCGGAAUUACUGGGCGUAAAGCUCUCGUAGGCGGUAUGUCAAGUCAAGGGUGAAAUCCCCGGGCUCAACGUGGGAACUGCCGUUGAAACUGGCAGACUGGAGUGUGGGAGAGGAUAGUGGAAUUCCAGGUGUAGGGGUGAAAUCCGUAGAUAUCUGGAGGAACAUCAGUGGCGAAGGCGACUAUCUGGAACAUAACUGACACUGAGGAGCGAAAGCGUGGGUAGCAAACAGGAUUAGAUACCCUGGUAGUC
RNAcentral lists this ribosomal RNA (465 nucleotides) under uncultured bacterium. Its description in RNAcentral is "partial 16S ribosomal RNA". It matches the Rfam family "Bacterial small subunit ribosomal RNA", at positions 338 to 795 of the family's 1533-position model. The record is from RNAcentral.